UUUAAUAAAAAGGACAAAAAAUUAAUAUUCAUUAACGCGUGUUUUUUUGACUUAAAUGAUAUGAAAGAAAAUUGUGUUUGAUGCAAAAUUGUGGAAAAACGGUUGUCCGCAGAAAAAAAAGUUUUGAGACAAUCUUACACUGUAAUAGAUUCUUGAUUGGUUGUAAAAAAAUCUUUCAAAUGAAACUUAGUUUGGCAAAGAUAAGGCCACUUAAAGCACAAGAGAGCAAAAAUCAUAAAAACCGUGGUAACUCGAAAACGAGACGAAAACGAGAAAAUUACCUCUUAAGUUAUUCGACUUAAAAUGACCUCAGGAAUCCAUGGUUUUCAUUUGGGGCGGUGACUGUGGGACACCCUGUAUAUUGUUUUUUUUUUUGUGUUUACAUAAUACUUUUUUUUUUUUGUUUCCUAUUUCCUCACUCAGGCAGGCAGAAAUCAUUCAUGAAAUUAUGAAGAUGCUGCAGAGAGUAGGUAGAUAGUAGAUAUUUUUUGCAAGAUCAUUAUCUUUGGUUUUCAAAAAGGGUUGUUUUGUUCAUGUAGACUCUUGGGUUUUUCCUAACAAUUCAUUUCGUGUUUAUAAUAGGUGUGUUUUUUAUUACCACCGGUCUUAACUGGACAAAAAAAACGCAGUCGGGGCUAAGCAAUUUACAUGUUAAAUACAACAACACUUUAGCCCCUUGGGCUUAGUUGUUUAGCCCGGAGAAUUCUUUGGGCUUAACUUUUUGAAGAGUUUUAAAUCGGUGCUACCAAACCAUAAAUUGUUCAGAAUUUGUUAAGAAACGUCAAAACUAACGUUUGAAAUGGUAAAAUAAAAUUUAAAAAAAAAAAUUAUAAAAAAAAAAGAAUUUUAUUUUUUUUUAAACUGAAAACAAAAUCUCAAGUUUUUUCAGAGCCCCUCCACAACACUCAGGUCAAUAAGAAUCCUGUAAACUCAUCAAAAAAAUAUCUAUAUUUAAUAUUUGGUAAGUAUAAGCCUCCUACAUAUAAUAGCCAAGGUUCUGGAGCAAGCCAAAUACCAUGAAAAAUCAGCAAAAUUACCAGGUUUUCAAAAAUUAUUUUUAAUUCAAGGAUAAUUAAUACGUAUUUUUUUUAUUAUUUAUUCAAAAAUUACUAUUCUUAAGCUUUAAAAUGCAGUUUCAAACAAAGAGAUAUCUUUAGUAGACGCAAAGCUAUAAUAUCACGAGAAUGACUUUCUGCAAAAGUUCGAAUGCGGGUAGCGGGGAAACCACACAAACAUCAACAAUUACACCCCAAAGAGACACAUCGACAUCGGAACUCUUAUCACAUAUACAUCAAAACUUGCCACCGACACCUACACCAACUGAAGUCACAUCAUGAACAACUAUUGCUGCAGCCGCUGCAGCAUCAGCAGCAGAAGCUUGUUCUUACUAUGAUUAUCGCUACCCACGUCGGUUCAAUGAAGUUUCCUCAACAUCUGCUGCAAGCUCAACAAGUGGGACCGCAUUUAAUGGUCGUUCUUACGAUGGAUAUCGCUACAAUGUAAAUCGCAUUCGCCCAAAUGUUUCCGGAAAUAUUGUCGGGCCACCUAGGCUUGCUCCUUAUCAGCCACGAACUUCAAGACUACGUACUGUUUAACACCAGAUUUUCCAAUGCCUAUCAACGCGAUCGUUUUCACGAAGAUGUUCCUCCUUAUGCAUAUCCAGACCCAGUUGCUCCGGACAUGUAUCCACGAGUUCAGUUUGGGGAUACUCUGAACCUCAAUGCCUUCGAGGUCCAGCUUCAUCGACAACAACACCACCGCAUCCAAAUGCUGCUGUUCCAGCACAUGAAAAUAAUAAUAUACCACCAAAACCAACAGCAGCACCCUCGGCUCCUCAGCCACCACCUGAAUCAACUUUUGAAAUAAGUUCUGAACAACAACAGCAACAACCACCACCACCACCGCGACGUGCAAACAUUUGCUCACCGCCAGCUGCACAUUCAACAGAGUUCCAAUUAUCCGCCAUAUUUUGUGCGUGAUGUAAGUCAAAUGCGAGUAUCCAACAUUUAGUGCAGGAACAAAACAUCAUCGACCUCAUCAAGUAGGAGCUCCACCACCCUAUCUUGUUCAUCAUAAUCUUUGGUGUUGCCAACAAACCAUGCAGGAAAUACAUCGCCGAUACCUGACUCCAACUCCGAUAGAUUUAUCAUCGAUUCGGAGUUUACCUAGUUAUCGAUCUCGACAGAUUCAAAAUAUAUGUCCAUGUGUUCACAGUAGAACAGGGCCGGUUCCGGAAAGUUGAAAAAAAAGAUUCUCUAUUUUUGUUGUAUUUAGUUAUUUAUUGAGUUAAUUUUCCAGGCAUAUCAAAUGGAAGAAACGUGAAUCAAAUUUGCCAGCUUUAGUUGAAGUUGUUGUCACCUCCAUAGCAUCUUGACCACCACCAAGAACAACAUGAUCCAUAAUUGCACUGAUUGAAGCCGAAUUGACGGGUCUUUCAGUUUUGUAGGUCUUCAAGCACAUUAGCGAUUCCGAGUCGAAUAAUUUGGCUGAUGUAUCUUUAGAGGCGGUAACAAACAUUAGGCCCUAAAUUGGUGUCCCAUUUUGUGGAAAUAAUCCCAUACAAAUGAAUGAAACAGAUUGAAAUUUAUAAAAAAAUACUUUUUAUAAGGAUUGAAGUGUUUGUGCUAGAACGUCCUCCAGAAAAAACUAGACGAAACUUAAAGGAUGUGUAGUCUUGUAUUCUCUCUUUUUGUUGUAUUUAGUUAUUAAUUGAGUUAAUUUUCCAGGCAUAUCAAAUGGUCAGUUUGUCAAUUUCAUUUGAACCCCCACCGACAACACAGCCCAGACAAAGGCAUGUACCUGCUGUACAUCAUCAUAUGAUUCAUCAUUAUACUUUGCCUACACCUGUGCGUUUGGAAAUCGAUUUGAGAGCACCAUUGAAAAGCUUAAGAUCAAUCGAAGAUAUCGGAUCUAGAAUUGUAUUUGGUCCAACUACAAUACGAAUCCCCGACGAUCAGGAUUGCGUUUUAAAAGUGUGGACACCAGAACUACGUGAAAUGUGUAUUUGAAAUCCAUCACUUGUACCCUACGGCGAUCAACUACUUGGCAAGAAGGUUCGUGACUCAAUAUCUUAUAGAAUAGGAAAACCUUUUGUUAAAGUUUAUUAAAUGUAAUUUAUUCAAUUUAGAGUUUGUUUGGUUUUAUAAACGAAAUGUAAGGAUUACUUGUUGAUUCCAACUUUGUUGAAAAGCUUGUCCUUGGCUAUUUGCGCCAUGAGACCGUGAAUCAGUUCAAUAAAGGCACAACUGGAAUCUGUAGUUGCUUUAGUUGGUUUAUUUUCUGUGCGCUUUUCAUUUAUAUCACCACCUGAAAACAGAUUAAGAGCGAGGUAAGAGAAGCAAAGGAAAAAAAUAAUGAAAAUUAUUUUUAUUUUUAAGCGGAGUGAUUGAAUAUAAUUCAAUUAAAAAGUUCAAGUGACCUCAAACCUCAACUCUAUAUUCGUUUCGCAUAUGUUCACUUGAACUUUUUAAUUCAGGUAAGAGAAGUUUAUUGCAUUGUCCUGAUUGGACAAAUCAAAUAUUUGUCCAGUUGUGUACUCGGUGUUUGUGAGCAGCCCAGAGCUUCCAAGAGUAUUAACCCAAUAUUAGUUCCACAAAGAAUCAAAGAGCUUCCUAUCAAGAUUAGACUUGAAGUAACGUACCUCAAGUGGAUAGUACUGCUUGCAGUGAACACCGAAAUCCUCAAUUUUAUUCAAUGGAAUCGUUUGGUUUUCAGAUGGUUCUUCAUUUGGUGGCUUAAAGCCUUAAGGAAAUGUCCGGAAGCACCUAGAUUCGGUUCCUUCGACAGGUAAUGCAAAUGCAUCCUAAUUAAUUAUGAAAUUUUCAUGGAAUUGUUUUUUGUUUGACAAUUCCAAUUUGUCUAGUCAGCUGAUUUCGGAACAUUUAAUACGCAGUGCUGCCAAGUUUUUAGGUUAAGCCCCGAGGCGUUUUUUUGUCCAGUUAAGACUGGACAAAAAAAACGCAGUCUGGGCUA
Molecule: long non-coding RNA, 3972 nt
Organism: Episyrphus balteatus (marmalade hoverfly)
Lineage: Eukaryota; Metazoa; Arthropoda; Insecta; Diptera; Syrphidae
Exons: 3
Source: RefSeq, a predicted model, not a curated record